CUUUUUUUUUCUUUUUUUCUCUAUGGUCAUUUUUUUCUUUUUGGCCUUUCUCUUUUUUUCUUUUUUUUUACCUUUUUGUAAAGUCCGAAGCCUCAUCCCGACUUGUGGGGGAAUCAUAGUCUUCAUCAUCCUUUCCUCACUAGGACAAUGCUCUAAUAAUGAAGAUCAUCACACUUUUAUGGAUUUACAACUCAAAGCUAGAACAAGAUAUGACUCUAUAUGAAUGUCUCCGGCGGUGUACCGGGAUAUGCAAUGAAUCAAGAGCGACAUGUAUGAAAAUUAUGAAGGUGACCUUGCCACAAAUACAAUGUCAACUACAUGAUCAUGCAAAAAGCAAUAUGACAAAAGUAAUGCGUGUCAUAUGAACGGAAUGGUGGAAAGUUGCAUGGCAAUAUAUCUCGGAAUGGCUAUGGAAAUGCCAUAAUAGGUAGGUAUGGUGGCUGUUU
RNAcentral lists this long non-coding RNA (446 nucleotides) under Triticum aestivum (bread wheat). RNAcentral's name for it is "long non-coding RNA (TAES_LNC003059)". The record is from RNAcentral. Lineage: Eukaryota; Viridiplantae; Streptophyta; Magnoliopsida; Poales; Poaceae.